UUUGGUUAAGUUAGAAAGGGCGCACGGUGGAUGCCUUGACACUAGGAGUCGAUGAAGGACGGGACUAACGCCGAUAUGCUUCGGGGAGCUGUAAGUAAGCUUUGAUCCGAAGAUUUCCGAAUGGGGAAACCCACCAUACGUAAUGGUAUGGUAUCCUUAUCUGAAUACAUAGGGUAAGGAAGACAGACCCAGGGAACUGAAACAUCUAAGUACCUGGAGGAAGAGAAAGCAAAUGCGAUUUCCUGAGUAGCGGCGAGCGAAACGGAACAUAGCCCAAACCAAGAGGCUUGCCUCUUGGGGUUGUAGGACAUUCUAUACGGAGUUACAAAGGAACGAGGUAGACGAAGCGACCUGGAAAGGUCCGUCGUAGAGGGUAACAACCCCGUAGUCGAAACUUCGUUCUCUCUUGAAUGUAUCCUGAGUACGGCGGAACACGUGAAAUUCCGUCGGAAUCUGGGAGGACCAUCUCCCAAGGCUAAAUACUCCCUAGUGAUCGAUAGUGAACCAGUACCGUGAGGGAAAGGUGAAAAGCACCCCGGAAGGGGAGUGAAAGAGAUCCUGAAACCGUGUGCCUACAAAUAGUCAGAGCCCGUUAACGGGUGAUGGCGUGCCUUUUGUAGAAUGAACCGGCGAGUUACGAUCCCGUGCGAGGUUAAGCUGAAGAGGCGGAGCCGCAGCGAAAGCGAGUCUGAAUAGGGCGUUUAGUACGUGGUCGUAGACCCGAAACCAGGUGAUCUACCCAUGUCCAGGGUGAAGUUCAGGUAACACUGAAUGGAGGCCCGAACCCACGCACGUUGAAAAGUGCGGGGAUGAGGUGUGGGUAGCGGAGAAAUUCCAAUCGAACCUGGAGAUAGCUGGUUCUCCCCGAAAUAGCUUUAGGGCUAGCCUUAAGUGUAAGAGUCUUGGAGGUAGAGCACUGAUUGGACUAGGGGUCCUCAUCGGAUUACCGAAUUCAGUCAAACUCCGAAUGCCAAUGACUUAUCCUUAGGAGUCAGACUGCGAGUGAUAAGAUCCGUAGUCAAAAGGGAAACAGCCCAGACCGCCAGCUAAGGUCCCAAAGUGUGUAUUAAGUGGAAAAGGAUGUGGAGUUGCUUAGACAACUAGGAUGUUGGCUUAGAAGCAGCCACCAUUUAAAGAGUGCGUAAUAGCUCACUAGUCGAGUGACUCUGCGCCGAAAAUGUACCGGGGCUAAAUACACCACCGAAGCUGCGGAUUGAUACCAAUGGUAUCAGUGGUAGGGGAGCGUUCUAAGGACAGUGAAGUCAGACCGGAAGGACUGGUGGAGUGCUUAGAAGUGAGAAUGCCGGUAUGAGUAGCGAAAGACGGGUGAGAAUCCCGUCCACCGAAUGCCUAAGGUUUCCUGAGGAAGGCUCGUCCGCUCAGGGUUAGUCAGGACCUAAGCCGAGGCCGACAGGCGUAGGCGAUGGACAACAGGUUGAUAUUCCUGUACCACCUCUUUAUCGUUUGAGCAAUGGAGGGACGCAGAAGGAUAGAAGAAGCGUGCGAUUGGUUGUGCACGUCCAAGCAGUUAGGCUGAUAAGUAGGCAAAUCCGCUUAUCGUAAAGGCUGAGCUGUGAUGGGGAAGCUCCUUAUGGAGCGAAGUCUUUGAUUCCCCGCUGCCAAGAAAAGCUUCUAGCGAGAUAAAAGGUGCCUGUACCGCAAACCGACACAGGUAGGCGAGGAGAGAAUCCUAAGGUGUGCGAGAGAACUCUGGUUAAGGAACUCGGCAAAAUGACCCCGUAACUUCGGGAGAAGGGGUGCUUUCUUAACGGAAAGCCGCAGUGAAUAGGCCCAAGCGACUGUUUAGCAAAAACACAGCUCUCUGCGAAGCCGUAAGGCGAAGUAUAGGGGGUGACACCUGCCCGGUGCUGGAAGGUUAAGGAGAGGGGUUAGCGUAAGCGAAGCUCUGAACUGAAGCCCCAGUAAACGGCGGCCGUAACUAUAACGGUCCUAAGGUAGCGAAAUUCCUUGUCGGGUAAGUUCCGACCCGCACGAAAGGUGUAACGAUUUGGGCACUGUCUCAACCAGAGACUCGGUGAAAUUAUAGUACCUGUGAAGAUGCAGGUUACCCGCGACAGGACGGAAAGACCCCGUGGAGCUUUACUGUAGCCUGAUAUUGAAUUUUGGUACAGUUUGUACAGGAUAGGCGGGAGCCUUUGAAACCGGAGCGCUAGCUUCGGUGGAGGCGCUGGUGGGAUACCGCCCUGACUGUAUUGAAAUUCUAACCUACGGGUCUUAUCGACCCGGGAGACAGUGUCAGGUGGGCAGUUUGACUGGGGCGGUCGCCUCCUAAAGUGUAACGGAGGCGCCCAAAGGUUCCCUCAGAAUGGUUGGAAAUCAUUCGUAGAGUGCAAAGGCAUAAGGGAGCUUGACUGCGAGACCUACAAGUCGAGCAGGGACGAAAGUCGGGCUUAGUGAUCCGGUGGUUCCGCAUGGAAGGGCCAUCGCUCAACGGAUAAAAGCUACCCCGGGGAUAACAGGCUUAUCUCCCCCAAGAGUCCACAUCGACGGGGAGGUUUGGCACCUCGAUGUCGGCUCAUCGCAUCCUGGGGCUGUAGUCGGUCCCAAGGGUUGGGCUGUUCGCCCAUUAAAGCGGUACGCGAGCUGGGUUCAGAACGUCGUGAGACAGUUCGGUCCCUAUCCGUCGUGGGCGUAGGAAAUUUGAGAGGAGCUGUCCUUAGUACGAGAGGACCGGGAUGGACGCACCGCUGGUGUACCAGUUGUUCUGCCAAGGGCAUAGCUGGGUAGCUAUGUGCGGAAGGGAUAAGUGCUGAAAGCAUCUAAGCAUGAAGCCCCCCUCAAGAUGAGAUUUCCCAUAGCGUAAGCUAGUAAGAUCCCUGAAAGAUGAUCAGGUUGAUAGGUUCGAGGUGGAAGCAUGGUGACAUGUGGAGCUGACGAAUACUAAUAGAUCGAGGACUUAACCAUAUAA
This 2929-nucleotide ribosomal RNA is filed under the name Escherichia coli. Its description in RNAcentral is "bacterial LSU rRNA". It matches the Rfam family "Bacterial large subunit ribosomal RNA". Lineage: Bacteria; Pseudomonadati; Pseudomonadota; Gammaproteobacteria; Enterobacterales; Enterobacteriaceae. The record is from RNAcentral. RNAcentral also lists the same sequence under 7 other names.